Populus nigra (black poplar) is the source of this 1080-nucleotide long non-coding RNA. RefSeq lists it as uncharacterized. Lineage: Eukaryota; Viridiplantae; Streptophyta; Magnoliopsida; Malpighiales; Salicaceae. The transcript has 2 exons. The record is from RefSeq and is a predicted model, not a curated record.
GAUUUUGCACUAGAAGAGACAUAGUGUCCCUCUUCCACAGCCUGUAAAUAGCUGUAAAUAGAUGUUAUCUUCAUGCUCUAGAGAAGGGGGAUCGGGGGACCCCAAAGUUAAGAAAAAAUCAUCUUUUGUCCGGGUUCCCAGCUGCUGCUCGUCUCUCUGUUUCUCUCUCCACCGUGGCCUCCUUCCAUAACCACCAGAACCACCGACAGCACCGCCACAGCCAGAGAAUAAACGGCGAAGAAUAGGAUAAACACAGGGAGGGGGGCAGAGGAGGAGAAAUGUUUUGGAGAAAAGAGGGAAGCAAGCUGAAGAAACGGGGGAGAAAAAGAAAAAAAAGGAAACAGAGAGGGGAGCUGAAUAAAAAAAAACACAGACACGGGGAAACAGAGAUAAGAAACCAGACGAAACAGAGGAGAAAGAGAAAAGCAGAAGAGAGGAGAGGAAGACCACUGCAGCAAACACCAUCGACUCCGCCAUUGCUGUUCCUCCCCAUCGCCACUGCUGCAACACUGUGAAGAAGAAGAAAAACAGCAGCACUGGUUGUCACAACCACUGUGCUGAGACUCCGCAAUUGUUGUUCCUCCCCAUCGCCACCGCAGCAACUCCACCUGAGCCAUCGUCAAAAAGGAAAAAAAAAGAGGACGAAGAGACAGAGAAGCAGGAGACAGAAACGGGGAGAAGAAGAAACACAGAAAAAAAAAACACAGAACAGAGAAAGGGCAGAACCGUCGUCUGGCAUCGCCAUCCACUGCAAGCACACCGCCUGACCGCCGCCGUUAGCCUCCGCUACCACCACCAACAGCACUGCCUCGCCACUCCAGGACAGGGGUUUGCGGCGUCGUAGGAGGAGUGCCCUGCACUGUAUUAUUACCUACAUGCCUUUUAAGCUGGGAUACGUGGAACACUAGGUGAAUCAAAGUUGUAGGAGGUAGAUCAAGCUUAUAGGCCACACUUCCUAUUUUGGCAAUCACCUGGUAUGGCCUGUAAUACUUCGUAGCUAGUUUUUAUGAGGAUCUAUGUGUUGCUGACUGUUUCUGGUAUGGUUGAAGCUUGAGGUAGACAUAGUCAUUAACUUCAAAA